Lates calcarifer (barramundi perch) is the source of this 5991-nucleotide long non-coding RNA. RefSeq lists it as uncharacterized. The transcript has 8 exons. The record is from RefSeq and is a predicted model, not a curated record. NCBI's taxonomy places the organism in Eukaryota, Metazoa, Chordata, Actinopteri, Centropomidae.
AGCGUCGCCUCCGUUUGCCAGUAGUGCGGGGGAACGUCACCACCGAGGUCCGGAUGCUUAAAGUUUUUGUCGAACGCAGGUUUACUGGUUCAGCUGCUGCAGCCUGGACACAAACACCAGCUCCCACCUUAAAAAGCAAACAGAGGCCUGGACUACGAAGGGAGUUUAAGCCACUCUGAUUUAACUCGGGUUAUCAAGGAACGUCGGGGUUGACAGACGUCGGCUGCCUCGAUCUGCGUUAACUACAGCGAUGGUUAAGAUGUCAAGAGAAGAGACCGACAUGAAGAUGUUUCCAGAAGUCUGGCAUUCCAUCCAUCCGGAGACCAACUCCAACCGCCAAACUACCAAACAACUGGUUCUGCUGAUAUGUCGACUACAGGAGAGGGUAUGGAAAUGACAAUGGAUGUGGCAGCGGAGAGUUUAAAACGGUGCCAUUCAUAUGCCAAACAACAACUUGCGGAUUUUGAUGACUCUCCAAGCGCGAGCCCAUAGAAAAAAAUCAGCCCGCUGUGAGCCGGAGCCCUCCAACGCUGUCCUGCUGGCGGCUAUUAACAAGCUCAUUGAGACGCAGCUCAGUUUCAGGGAGAAACUGGAAUCCAUAGAGAAGUCCAUUGAGAAUAAUGUCAAGAGGAUAGAGAGUUGGCAUCCAGAGUGGAUCCCCUGGAGCUCCAGAUUAAAGCCCUGACCGCUGAAAAUAAGAAGCUGAUGGACAGAGUGAACGACAUGGAUGCAUACUUCAGCAUCCACCACGCCGCACUAUAGUCCGCUUUUCACACCGGGCACACCGUGACCAAGUCUGGGCGGACGCUAAAACCUCUCAGGUCCUCAAGCAGAAGAACGUGAAGAUAUCGGAGGACUUAACUCAGCAGGUGAGGGAUGCAAGAGCGAAGCUGUGGCCGCUGGUAGAAGAGGCGAGGAGGCCUUUUUGCUAUCACUGCUGGUAAGAAGAUAUCUGCAGAGGACUUGACAUGAAGUAUUGUCCUGAGUAGGUAGACUCAUCUAAUUGUGGAAAAUUUGAUUUUGAUGUAGCCUUUGGCAGCUGAGAGGAUAGCUCCUGUCCUGAACUUGUUGGGAUACUUGUUCCAUGGGUCAGUUUCUAAUAUGUUUACUCAAUGUAAAGUUUUUGGUUUGUGAAUUCAAGUUUUGAACAUUUCUCAACUUCUUGUAUUCUGUAACUACUACUAAUACUGUUUAAGUAGUUUUUGUUAUUCUGUGUUUUGUGUACACACGUUUGAUAUUCAUUUAUCAUGUUUUUCUCUAAAUGUAUGAGAUUUAACUAAAAGAAAAGCUUUAUUUUUAUUUUGUAGUCAUCAAAAUAAGGAUGUCUAUUUUUUUCAGGAGACUCAUUCCACUUCAAAAGAUGAAGCAUUUUGGCGCAAUCAGUGGGGAAGGAAAGUUAUUUUUUCUCAUGGUACUAAUUUCUCAGGAGGUGUUUUAGUUUUACUCCAUGUUAAAUUUAAUGGUGAGAUCAUAUAUACAGAGGUUUCAGAUGGAUUCUGUUAGUAAUUCAAUGUGGAGAUAAUAUAUUUAUUUUGGUAAUGCUGGGAAUUCUAACAUCACACUCCUUAAGUUUUUGUCUGACAAAAUUCUCCAAGAAAUGAACAAAUUUUCCUCAGCAUCUGUGAUUGUUGGCGGUGACUUUAAUGAGGCUCCAAACUUAUGUACAGAUAGAGGUAAUCAAGAUCAUUUUAACCCUGUUUAUAUUUGAUUUAACUGAUCAUGCUGGAAUAGAUAUUUCUUUAUCAAAUUUAAGUUCUGCUCACCGCAACAAACCUGGAUACUGGAAGUUAAAAUCUUCCUUUCUACAACAAUCAGCUUAUUGUUUGGGUAUUAAACAAAUUAUCACUAAAUUCAACUCAAUGUCUGAAAUUACACCUACGCUAAAAUGGGAGCUACUCAAAUUUAAAUGUCAAAGUUUUUCAAUAUGUUUUGGAAAGCAGCAAUUAAGAGAUCAAAAUAAGGCUUAUGCUAAUAAUUUAAAAGAGUUGAAUGAUUUAUUAAAUAUACCUGUUCCAAGUAAUGAAGAUAAAGUGCGUUUGCACUCAUUAAGGGAAAAAUUAGACCUUUUAUUCCAGACAAAAGCAAGAGGAGCAUUCAUAAGGUCUCGGGCCAGAUGGUUGGAACGUGGAGAAAAGAACUCCUCCUCCUUUUUUAAUUUGGAGAAAAAACGUGGUGAGGCCAGAAAAAUAUCUGCCUUAUAUAUCGAUAACAGUCUCUUUGAAAAUGAUAAAGAAAUCUCUUCUUUUAUCUCUUAACUUUUAUCAAAAGUUAUACUCUUCCUCAUUUAACCCUCAGGCUUGUAGUGUCUUUUUUGAUAAAGUAUCCCCAUUCAUUCCUAAAACUUCCAGGGAGAAUUACGAGCUUUGUGAAAGUCCAAUUACACUAGAAGAAUCGAAGAAGACUAUUACAAAAAUGCCAGCUAAUAAAAGUCCUGGUCCAGAUGGAUUGCCUUAUGAAUUUUAUGUAACUUUUUGGGAUGAUUUAAUAAAACAUUUGUUGUGGGGAGUGUUUGUGGAUUGUGCCAGAAAUAAGGAACUGACUGUUUCUAUGAAGCAAGGUUUAAUAUCACUAAUCCCUAAACCUGGUAAAGAUCUUCUUUAUCUGGAUAAUUGGCGUCCUAUAACGUUGCUAAAUUCAGACUACAAAAUCCUUGCAGCACUGUACGCCAAUAGAUAAAAAUUUUGCUUAGAGGAAAUUAUUUCUGUAACACAGUCAGGUUUUAUGAAAGGUCGGCACAUUGCUAAUAAUAUUCGGCUUGUCCUAGACAUUUUAGAUUAUAGAGACCUGUUUGAUCAAAAGUCACUGAUUUAGUUUUUGGACUUUUACAAAGCUUUUGAUACUCUGGAACACUCGUUUAUUUUUGAGGCUUUGCAAUAUUUUGGGUUCAAAGAAAACUUCAGGAACAUCAUAAGUACACUCUAUACCAAUAUUAAUAGCUGUGUAUCCCUGGCACAUGGUACUUCUCCUCGCUUUCAUAUAAACCGUGGGAUAAGACCAAGGGUGUCCAAUUUCACCUUUCUUAUUUUUGGUAGCUGCUGAACUUCUUAAUCUGUUCAUUGUUAACUGUGUGAAUAUAGAGGGUAUUAAGAUAGGUGACAAUGUUCUAACCAUUAGUCAGCUGGCUGAUGACACCUGUCUGUUUCUCCAAAAUGAACUUCAAGUCCCUGGGUAUCACAAUAAGCAAAUCUAUUAGUGAGAGGAUCUCUCAAAACGUUCUGCCAAAAAUUGAAAAGUCUAAAUCUAUCUUUAACUGCUGGUUACAGAGAGACCUUACUAUUAUAGGUCGAAUUUUACUUUCUAAGGCAGAAGGUUUAUCUAGAUUAGCGUACCCAGCUUUAUCUUUAUAUGUAGAUCGCAAAACCUGUGCAGCUAUUGAUUCACUCUUAUUUACAUUUAUUUGGAAACACAAAAAUGAGAAUAUAAAGAGGAAGACAAUUAUCAGACAAUAUUCAGAGGGUGGUGUUAAUGUGUUAGACUUCCAAACUAUCAACAGUAUAUUCAAACUCAACUGGAUAAAACAUUGUCUAGCACAUACUAAUGCGCCAUGGUUUUUUAUUCCCAAUUUUUUGUUUAAUAAAUGUGGUGGUUAAUUUACUUUACCUCAAGUGAAUUGCCUGUUAAGCUUGCCAACUUCCAUAAGCAAGCCCUGGACACAUGGGAAAUUGCUUUCAAACACAACUUUUCUCCUCACACAUGUAUCUUAUGGAAUAAUCAACAUAUUGUUUACAAGAAUAAGAUCUUAUUUUUUAAAGAUUGGUACGAUCAGGGGGUUAUGUUUGUUUUUGAUCUUGUGAAUGAUAAGGGGGACCUAGGUGCAUAUGAAGAAUUCACCCAACGAAAAAUAUACCUACUAGUUUGUUGUCACUUAUUAGAGCGCCUGUUCUGUACACACCUCUCUCAGGAAUGAGUCCUGCUCUGUGGCUGGGUGGAAAGGUUCUUGAGGAACGUUCAUGUAACAGUGCUCAUAUUAGGUCAGUUUGUACUUUUGUUCAUAGUCAGUAUCCAAACUCAUUUCAUCGUUGGAGAGUGAUGUUUCCUGAAAUCAGUAACAACAUCUGGACUGAAUUUAAUAGAUUUUUUGUCUCCAAUAAAGUUAAAGAAAUACAUAUUAAAAUCUUACAUAGAUAUUAUCCCCGUAAUGAAUUCAUUAACAGAUUUAGACCUGAUGUGUCCCCUUUAUGUUCCUUCUGCAAAAAAGAGAGUCUUUAUCUCAUUUGUUUUAUGGAUGUGCCUAUUCUACUAACUUCUGGACUCUAUUAUCUUUAUUGAUUUGGGAAUAUCAUAAAGUUUUGGUCACUUUUACUGAAAAUAUGGUCUUAUUCUUAAAUGUUGACUGUAACAAUGAGGAAGUUAAAAAUGUAAUCAAAUUGCUGUGUCUCUUGGGUAAAUUUCACAUCCAUAAGGCUAGAUUUCUCCAGGCCAAGCCAAAUGUAUCUUUGUUUUAUAUGGAGUGCAAAUCUUUUAAUGACGCUAUAGGUAAAAUUAGUAAGAAUAAGAAAGCUUUCAAGACAUCCAAUCUUUUGGAAAGUAUUAUACGUCAUAUCAAUAGGUAAUUUUUUUCCCUUUCUCCUCUGCUUUUUGUGUGAUAUUCAUUAUGUACUCCUUGUGUCUCCCUGUAUGUUUGGAUGAUGUCAUGUUUGUUUGUUAGUGUCUUUAAUGUGAUAAUAAAGUGUUAAAAAAAGAAAAAAAAAAAAAAGAAAGAAAGCGUAUGUCGUCAUUGGUUACGGCGUGGCUCGUCACUGGUCACGAGUUUCUGGGAGGAGCUGUUCAGAGAGGAGAGACGGAUAUGAGCCACGUUUGUAGCAUUGCCUCUGUUUGCCAGUACUGCUAGGUCCGGAUGCCUAAACUUUUUGUCGAACACGGGUGAGAUGCUAAAACAAGCUCUGGAGCUGUUUUGGUCGAACACGGGUUUACUGGUUCAGCUGCUGCAGCCUGGACACAAACACCAGCUCCCACCUUAAAAAGCAAACAGAGGCCUGGACUACGAAGGGAGUUUAAGCCACUCUGAUUUAACUCGGGUUAUCAAGGAACGUCGGGGUUGACAGACGUCGGCUGCCUCGAUCUGCGUUAACUACGGCGACGGUGAAGAUGUCAGUGUCUCCACUUGACGUCCACGAUCAGAGAAUCUUUGAACAAUGAAGGAAUUGUUUAGACCAGGACAGAGGCCUCCAGAAUUCCAACUUGAAGCAUUAAAUCACAGAGAGAAGAGACAGACAUGAAGAUGUUUCCAGAAGGUCUCAGAGACGCCACCAGUGCCGUCAGUUUCACAAGAACAGCUUCUGACGUCGCGUAUCGACGGUUAUCCCGUUACGUCACGGAGUCUAGAGCGCUUGGACAGGCGUUCACAGAACCUGUAAACCAAAGCUGGGGCUCUCGCACUUUGUCUGCCUCAGGUAAGAUUACAACUGGCAGUCCCUUUUCUUUUAGUGUUUGCAUUUGUUUGUACAGCGUCAAAAUGUACUGCCAAAGGUGAUCUUUAAGCGUCCAAGCUCAGCAGUAGUUGUCUUAUAUAGUAGUAUCAUGUCCAACAGACAGAAUCACUUCUGUCUCUAACUGACACUCCACCCACUGAAAUCAACCCGACUCUACUGAUCUCAAAGGACAAAACUUUUGACACUUUACUGUGACAUUGAGUAUUUUUAACUGUUUUCCAUGCCUUAGUAUUUUAUGACAUUUGUUUUUGAGUGUUUUCCAAGCCUUAUUAUACUAUGACAUUAUUUAAGUGUUGUUGGGUGUUUUUCCACUGUUUGUUAUGCCUUACUGUACUAUGAUGUUUUUUGACUGUUUUUCAUGCAUUAUUGUGUACUAUUACAGUAUUUGAGUGUUUAUUACUGUUUUUCAUGCCUUACUGUGCUUUUACAAUAUUUGAGUGUUUGUGACUGUUUUUCCAUUGUUUUUUUUGCGUGGCAUUAUCCAACUUGCCUGUCUUUUAUGUCAUUAUGCAGCCCGUGCCCUUAUUUUAAGAAUUUGAAUAAAUUUAACAAAAUAAAA